CGUGUAGGCGGUUUCGUAAGUCGGACGUAAAAGCUCCUGGCUUAACUGGGAGAGGCCGUUCGAUACUGCGGGACUUGAGGUCGGGAGAGGGACGUGGAAUUCCCGGUGUAGUGGUGGAAUGCGUAGAUAUCGGGAGGAACACCAGUGGCGAAGGCGGCGUCCUGGCCCGCACCUGACGCUAAGACGCGAAAGCGUGGGUAGCGAACG
RNAcentral lists this ribosomal RNA (207 nucleotides) under uncultured bacterium. Its description in RNAcentral is "partial 16S ribosomal RNA". It matches the Rfam family "Bacterial small subunit ribosomal RNA", at positions 568 to 774 of the family's 1533-position model. The record is from RNAcentral.